This is a long non-coding RNA of Chinchilla lanigera (long-tailed chinchilla), 896 nucleotides long. RefSeq lists it as uncharacterized. The transcript is spliced from 3 exons. Lineage: Eukaryota; Metazoa; Chordata; Mammalia; Rodentia; Chinchillidae. The record is from RefSeq and is a predicted model, not a curated record.
UGUCAGUAGAAGCCAUACCGUCCUGGGUUGGUGACAGGGAUUCCAUUUUGCCCCUUGCACUGCAAGGCAGAGGCCUUGAGUCCCAGCUCCCGUCAUCCACAGGGUUGUGAAGGGAAGGAACAGGGUGCUUGGGCCCUGCCCUGCAGAUGGGAUCCAGAGAGGUGAUGCGUUCAGGGCAUUCAACCUGAGUCAAGGGGCUUCCAGGGACACGAGCCCCUUUGAAGUUGAGGACUCUGCAGGCAGGGACCCUGGCACACAGGACAUCCCUGGGGAGCCGACUGCCACGGCCCCCAUGCUCAUGGAGAGAACUGGGGUGACCCACAUGGAUGCACCCGUCUUUCAUAAUGUACUUCUGAGAAUGCAGGCGGAAGACAGAGCUGGGAGGGCCUCCCUGUCGGCCUUCCGUCUCACACAGCCGGAUCCAAAGUCUAUCCCAACCUCAUCUGUGGCAAGACAGAGCCUCAGGCUGGUUCAGUCCCACAGCAGCUGCUCAGCAAGUAUGAGUGAGUGUCUGUCUACGCCUCUCCGUGUGCAGGAGACAGCACCUGACAUUGAGACCCCCCGCAGCAGGCCCCGUGCAGGGAUCUUCAUUUAUACUGGUUUAGGCUUCCUUCCUGGUAUUUGAGUCAUUUCCCAAGGUCUUUGCAGCAGCCAAGGAACUCACUACUCAAGGCGGCCUCCCAGUUCUGUUGCUUGUUCCUCCAGUAGCCUUCUACUCAGAGGCAGGCUGAAGCUGGGCAGAUUUGGGAGAAAAUAAGGUCUGAAGACAGGGCUCUGUACAGAGGCGGGGUUCCUGUAUGCUGUUGUCCUGGCUGCUCCUGCCCCUGGGUGGCAGUGGGCAGGUGCACCUCAAAAACUGCAGUAACAGCCUGUGUUUAUAAAUAAAGCUUUAUUGG